ACCCUAACCUUGGUUGUAUGGAACAAAGGGCUUGGGUUGAUUCUGCUACGUUGAAAGGUAGACUUGGUCCUGCGGGUUUGCAACGUUAGAAGCGGUAUCAAGAAGCAUCCUGAUCUUGGGAACGACACCUCUGUAGAGGGUGCUGAGAAGUGAAGCUUUGGAGAAACCAUGAUGAGGACAUUGUGUCUGGUAACCUUUGAAUCGCUCUCAUGCUUCGCAGAAAGUCUCAUUAUUUGUCUGUAUGAAACCGGAGAUAUCAUUCCUUAGUCUCGCAGUCCUGGAGUUUGAGAAAAACUUAGCCAAGAAGGCUUUCUUGCAGUAAUUCCAGGAGGUGAUAGAGCCUUGAGGAAGCGACUUUUCCCACUGAUGGGCUUUGUCUCCAAGAGAGAAUGGAAACAAUCUGAGCUUGAAGCCAUGCUCACUAACUCCAUUGAUCUUUGUUAGGCUGCAGAGCCUAUCAAACUCGUCCAGGUGAUCGAGUGGAUCCUCCAUAGGGAGGCCGUGGAACUUGUUGCUCUGAACCAUGGCAAUAAGACCGCUCUUGAUCUCAAAGUUGUUGUUCUGCACAGGUGGAGGCACGAUGCCAUUACACUGAUUGUGGUUGUGUGGUGCAUCGCCUGCACCUAUGUUGUUUGGUUGCACUUGCUCAUCUACAACAGCAGCCAUUGUGUCUGUUUCUGUUUGUGUUCUGAGUUGGUGUGCAAUACGGUCGAUGUUAUCGUUGAACAAGAGAUUCUGAUUUCCUCGUGACCGUGUUUGCAUACAAAGUUAGUAACUUUCAGAAAAAUUGAAAAAGAACUUGAUCUUAAGUAUUCUGAAAUCUCAAAUAUAGCAAACAAACACCCAAUUGGCAACGGCGCCAAAUUGAUAAUAGGUUUUUGCUCAAUUAAUCCUAUAGCACUAUCAUGUCGUUGUAGUAUUUUAGUUGCCAGACACUGGGUGUGGUCGAGUAAGUUGGUCGAGUAAUUGUAAAAACUAAGAAACAGACAAUGAGAACGAUUAAGCGAUAACGAUAAAACAGAGAAAUAAUAUAGACGAGAAAUUCCUAAGGAUGGGGUAAUCGAGUAGAGUGGUAUCCUAGCCUAUUCGAAUGGUUAACAAACGCAAUCAAGCUAUCCCUAGACAACAGGUUCAGCAGCAGAUCAAUUCACUUUCGUGAUAGAAUUCCUCAAGCAAAGCUAGCCCAGACUAGUUCCCAUUAAUGGAAUCUAACUAUGCAGGCAAUAAGAACAGACUGAUAAAGUCAAUAAACGCUCUAAACGGCCAAUCCCUUGGGAUAGAGACGCAUAUCUCAGGAACUAGUGGAUCAAGCAUUCAAUCGAACACCUUCUGGGUGCGGGAAUGCUUGGGAUCGAAUUCCAGUUGAUCAGAAAGAAAUAAGCAGUAAACGCAACUAGUCCUAAAGGGAUUCAAUCAAUUCUAAAACUUCACCAUUCUACAGAGUACGGAUUCCACAACUAUUCUAACCCAUCCCUAGGAAUUCUAAGUCACUACUCAGACAACAUGCUUAAAGACAUAAACGCAAAUAAAUGAUAAUAUUGCAUAAGUAAAGAGAUAAAGAGUAGAGAAACAAGAUGACAGAUGAAAUCAAAUGCGGAAUCUAAAUAACUUGGAAAAAUCUAGAAUUACAGGUUGGAGAAGCAAAAGCGGCGCAGCAGAGUAAAACAGAAAAUAAAACUGAAGCAAAAACUCAAUGUCGACUAGAAGUCUCAGGACAGAACCCUAAGACAUCUAUUUAUACAAAACGAAAUAAAAUGAUCGUAAACGGGCCAAUAACCUAAUCGCUCGGCCCAUAGAAAAUGGGCCGAGAUGGGCUUCGUGAUCCGAUGGAGGUCCAGGCCGCUUCCAAACACUUUGUCUUCUCUUCUUCUCUUCCUUGUGCUCAGCUUGUCUGGUUGAGUGUGGAUUUGAGUAGACUGUGAAGACGUGAUCGAGUGUCCGGUCGAGUGAUGGUGUUGGUGGUGAGUGAUGAUACUCGACCACAGGGUCGAGUAACGUGGUAGAGUGAACGGUCGAGUGUUGUCAGGUGGUGUUGCGAAGUGAUACUCGACCAGGUGGUCGAGUGGUGUCAUAGAGUGGCCUGAGCUGAGGUUACUCGACCUGGGGGUCGAGUAGAUGGGAAGAAUGUGAAACGUCCCAUCCCGGGCUGUCCGCCCGGUGAGGUUGUUCCCAUCCGAGGAUAACUCAAGUGUCCUUAGGUCCUAUCCGAAUUCGCUCUAAGUGUAAUUCUCACCGGAAAUUCUGAGAUUCAUAAGUAAAAAAGAGACAAAUUCACACAAAGAAACAAGCCAACUUUAUUCAUAUAAGGUUUCGAACGACAUGAGUGUUUGCACUAUAGGCUAUUACAAUCAUUCGAUCCAAUACUUUAACUUAAACACCACCCACUUGCCCGGACAACCAUCCUUGCCGCUAAGCCAUAUCCUUCCCACGAACUUGGUCACAUUCUGAAAUUAACGAAUCAUGAGUAUGAU
RNAcentral lists this small RNA (2471 nucleotides) under Arabidopsis thaliana (thale cress). Its description in RNAcentral is "ATSL031900". The stretch from base 164 to 270 matches the Rfam family "Plant small nucleolar RNA R71". The record is from RNAcentral. Lineage: Eukaryota; Viridiplantae; Streptophyta; Magnoliopsida; Brassicales; Brassicaceae.